CCUACGGGAGGCAGCAGUGAGGAAUAUUGGUCAAUGGACGAGAGUCUGAACCAGCCAAGUAGCGUGAAGGAUGACUGCCCUAUGGGUUGUAAACUUCUUUUAUAUGGGAAUAAAACGUUCCACGUGUGGGAUUUUGUAUGUACCAUAUGAAUAAGGAUCGGCUAACUCCGUGCCAGCAGCCGCGGUAAUACGGAGGAUCCGAGCGUUAUCCGGAUUUAUUGGGUUUAAAGGGAGCGUAGGUGGAUUGUUAAGUCAGUUGUGAAAGUUUGCGGCUCAACCGUAAAACUGCAGUUGAAACUGGCAGUCUUGAGUACAGUAGAGGUGGGCGGAAUUCGUGGUGUAGCGGUGAAAUGCUUAGAUAUCACGAAGAACUCCGAUUGCGAAGGCAGUUCACUGGACUGCAACUGACACUGAGGCUCGAAAGUGUGGGUAUCAAACAGGAUUAGAUACCCUUGUAGUC
This 460-nucleotide ribosomal RNA is filed under the name uncultured bacterium. Its description in RNAcentral is "partial 16S ribosomal RNA". It matches the Rfam family "Bacterial small subunit ribosomal RNA", at positions 338 to 795 of the family's 1533-position model. The record is from RNAcentral.